RNAcentral lists this ribosomal RNA (813 nucleotides) under Nocardioides sp. RNAcentral describes it as "bacterial SSU rRNA". It matches the Rfam family "Bacterial small subunit ribosomal RNA", at positions 66 to 883 of the family's 1533-position model. Lineage: Bacteria; Bacillati; Actinomycetota; Actinomycetes; Propionibacteriales; Nocardioidaceae. The record is from RNAcentral.
GCGGAAGGCCCUUUCGGGGGUACUCGAGCGGCGAACGGGUGAGUAACACGUGAGUAAUCUGCCCUUGGCUUCGGGAUAACCACCGGAAACGGUGGCUAAUACCGGAUACGACCAGCCCCGGCAUCGGGUGUUGGUGGAAAGUUUUUUCGGCCAGGGAUGUGCUCGCGGCCUAUCAGCUUGUUGGUGGGGUAAUGGCCUACCAAGGCUUCGACGGGUAGCCGGCCUGAGAGGGUGACCGGCCACACUGGGACUGAGACACGGCCCAGACUCCUACGGGAGGCAGCAGUGGGGAAUAUUGGACAAUGGGCGAAAGCCUGAUCCAGCAACGCCGCGUGAGGGAUGACGGCCUUCGGGUUGUAAACCUCUUUCAGUACCGACGAAGCGCCGAUGAUGGUGGUGACGGUAGGUACAGAAGAAGCACCGGCCAACUACGUGCCAGCAGCCGCGGUAAUACGUAGGGUGCGAGCGUUGUCCGGAAUUAUUGGGCGUAAAGGGCUCGUAGGCGGUUUGUCGCGUCGGGAGUGAAAACACCGGGCUUAACUCGGUGCUUGCUUCCGAUACGGGCAGACUAGAGGCAUGCAGGGGAGAACGGAAUUCCUGGUGUAGCGGUGAAAUGCGCAGAUAUCAGGAGGAACACCGGUGGCGAAGGCGGUUCUCUGGGCAUGUCCUGACGCUGAGGAGCGAAAGUGUGGGGAGCGAACAGGAUUAGAUACCCUGGUAGUCCACACCGUAAACGUUGGGCGCUAGGUGUGGGGCCUAUUCCAUGGGUUCCGUGCCGCAGCUAACGCAUUAAGCGCCCCGCCUGGGGAGUAC